AAAUUGAAGAGUUUGAUCAUGGCUCAGAUUGAACGCUGGCGGCAGGCCUAACACAUGCAAGUCGAACGGUAACAGGAAGAAGCUUACUUCUU
RNAcentral lists this ribosomal RNA (92 nucleotides) under Escherichia coli. RNAcentral's name for it is "partial 16S ribosomal RNA". It matches the Rfam family "Bacterial small subunit ribosomal RNA", at positions 1 to 88 of the family's 1533-position model. The record is from RNAcentral. Lineage: Bacteria; Pseudomonadati; Pseudomonadota; Gammaproteobacteria; Enterobacterales; Enterobacteriaceae.